GCUGGGUGUGGUGGCUCACAUCUGUAAUCCUAGCACUUUGGGAGGCUGAGGCGGGUGGAUCACCUGAGGUCAGGAAUUCGAGACCAGCCUGACCAACAUGGAGAAACCCCGUCUCUA
Molecule: non-coding RNA, 117 nt
Filed under: Homo sapiens (human)
Lineage: Eukaryota; Metazoa; Chordata; Mammalia; Primates; Hominidae
Source: Rfam by way of RNAcentral